Molecule: long non-coding RNA, 288 nt
Organism: Homo sapiens (human)
Lineage: Eukaryota; Metazoa; Chordata; Mammalia; Primates; Hominidae
Exons: 3
Source: RefSeq, a predicted model, not a curated record
GAGAACUGUGAUUAAUGUCCCUUCCCUGUUUGAGAGUGGUGGUCCAAAGAUUAAUGAAGUCAGAAUCCCUUGGAGAUAACAUGACAAAAGAAGGGUCAGGAUGGUGGUGGAGUAAAAGAAGGGUCAGGAUGGUGGUGGAGUUGGAAACAGUAUUGUUUGAGGACCAGUUGAGAAAGCUGCAUGAUGGAGCAGCUUGAAGAGGCUACAAUUAGGACCAAUGGGUGGAACUUCAAGGGAGGCAAAUGCAAAUGUAAUCUCAAGGAAUGGUAGAACUUUUCAACAGAGUUG